Molecule: ribosomal RNA, 758 nt
Filed under: uncultured Enterobacteriaceae bacterium
Lineage: Bacteria; Pseudomonadati; Pseudomonadota; Gammaproteobacteria; Enterobacterales; Enterobacteriaceae
Description: bacterial SSU rRNA
Rfam family: Bacterial small subunit ribosomal RNA
Source: RNAcentral
AUUAACGCUGGCGGCAGGCCUAACACAUGCAAGUCGAACGGUAACAGGAAGCAGCUUGCUGCUUCGCUGACGAGUGGCGGACGGGUGAGUAAUGUCUGGGAAGCUGCCUGAUGGAGGGGGAUAACUACUGGAAACGGUAGCUAAUACCGCAUAAUGUCGCAAGACCAAAGAGGGGGACCUUCGGGCCUCUUGCCAUCGGAUGUGCCCAGAUGGGAUUAGCUUGUUGGUGGGGUAACGGCUCACCAAGGCGACGAUCCCUAGCUGGUCUGAGAGGAUGACCAGCCACACUGGAACUGAGACACGGUCCAGACUCCUACGGGAGGCAGCAGUGGGGAAUAUUGCACAAUGGGCGCAAGCCUGAUGCAGCCAUGCCGCGUGUAUGAAGAAGGCCUUCGGGUUGUAAAGUACUUUCAGCGGGGAGGAAGGGAGUAAAGUUAAUACCUUUGCUCAUUGACGUUACCCGCAGAAGAAGCACCGGCUAACUCCGUGCCAGCAGCCGCGGUAAUACGGAGGGUGCAGGCGUUAAUCGGAAUUACUGGGCGUAAAGCGCACGCAGGCGGUUUGUUAAGUCAGAUGUGAAAUCCCCGGGCUCAACCUGGGAACUGCAUCUGAUACUGGCAAGCUUGAGUCUCGUAGAGGGGGGUAGAAUUCCAGGUGUAGCGGUGAAAUGCGUAGAGAUCUGGAGGAAUACCGGUGGCGAAGGCGGCCCCCUGGACGAAGACUGACGCUCAGGUGCGAAAGCGUGGGGAGCAAACAGG